Molecule: long non-coding RNA, 999 nt
Filed under: Anas platyrhynchos platyrhynchos (common mallard)
Lineage: Eukaryota; Metazoa; Chordata; Aves; Anseriformes; Anatidae
Description: lncRNA (ENSAPLG00000019464.1)
Source: RNAcentral
GUCGAUUGAGCCUUCUUAUCCCAGCUUCCUUGAACUUUUGGUUGUGAGUGGCAAAGACCUAAAGUCAGGUACAUUUCCUUAACUGUCCCCUAAAGUAUUGGUCCUUAAUUCCUGUGAACAACUGUAAUAAGCUGCUUUUUGAAGGUCAUUUACACCUGCAUUGCUAAGGUAUUCAGUGCCAUAAAAAGAUUUGACAAAGCACUACUCAUCUGGGCAGAAUUUUAAGCAUGACAUUAACUGUGUUUAACUCUGCUUGGUAUCAGUGGGGCUCACAAUGAGUUCUGAAUGUUUCACUGAAUAAGGAUGGAUUCAAGCAGGUGCAUAUUGUUAAGCAGGCACAUAAGUACCUAAGAGAGAUAAAUGGAGAGAGUUACAGAGCAGCUGGUAUCUCUGCUGUCCUAUCAACGCGAUUCCAUUUGGUGAGCAGAGUGAUGCAUUGAUGCCUUUUGAUGGAUUUCCUCGUGUGGAUGUGUCCUCUCUUUGGUGCAGGCUAUGUUACGGUCAUGAAAUGUGGUCUAAUAGAAGGAUCAUCAAGAGUGCUUCAAGCAAAAUGUGUUAAAUCACAAUACACAGUUACUAUUAUAACUCCAAUUGAUAAUCUGCUGUGCCUGCAAGAACUUUGCCAAGCUGGGAGCACAAAGCAGAACUCCUCAUGCCAAGACCUGAACUGUCCCCAAAGGACCAUACAGAGCUAUGGCCUUGGCUCCUGGAGAACCACAGCAGCUCCAAGAUCCUGGGAGACUUGGAUGGAGCUGCCUGGCCCAUUGGACCAUUCAUUUGAUGCAAGAGGUGGAAAGUCUCAGAUUUAUGUCACAGGAGCAAUAUUUCUUACAUUAGCUAUUUAUGGAUUUACACAUCUUUGCAUUUUCUUAACAGUAAAUAAAAUAAAUAGCAGGCACUGAAGGCCUGGCUGCGUGACAAGAACCUUUGUAGGAUGCAGAACAAGGACAAAAUUAAAAGCAGAGAGAGUAAAUAAAUCUUUGGGCAGGACUUCUGCCA